CUCGUAGGUGGCCGCCUCAGUCCGACGUGAAAUCCCUCGGCUCAACCGGGGAACUGCGUCGGAUACUGGGUGGCUUGAAUCCGGGAGAGGGACGUGGAAUUCCAGGUGUAGCGGUGAAAUGCGUAGAUAUCUGGAGGAACACCGGUGGCGAAGGCGGCGUCCUGGACCGGUAUUGACACUGAGGAGCGAAAGCCAGGGGAGCAAACGG
This 208-nucleotide ribosomal RNA is filed under the name uncultured Acidobacteriota bacterium. RNAcentral describes it as "uncultured Acidobacteria bacterium partial 16S ribosomal RNA". It matches the Rfam family "Bacterial small subunit ribosomal RNA", at positions 568 to 775 of the family's 1533-position model. Lineage: Bacteria; Pseudomonadati; Acidobacteriota. The record is from RNAcentral.